UACGGAGGAUCCGAGCGUUAUCCGGAUUUAUUGGGUUUAAAGGGUGCGUAGGCGGCCUUUUAAGUCAGCGGUGAAAGUCUGUGGCUCAACCAUAGAAUUGCCGUUGAAACUGGGGGGCUUGAGUAUGUUUGAGGCAGGCGGAAUGCGUGGUGUAGCGGUGAAAUGCGUAGAUAUUAGGAGGAACACCAGUGGCGAAGGCGGCCUGCUGGACGGUGACUGACGCUGAGGCUCGAAAGCGUGGGGAGCAAACAGG
RNAcentral lists this ribosomal RNA (253 nucleotides) under uncultured Parabacteroides sp. RNAcentral describes it as "partial 16S ribosomal RNA". It matches the Rfam family "Bacterial small subunit ribosomal RNA", at positions 524 to 776 of the family's 1533-position model. The record is from RNAcentral. Lineage: Bacteria; Pseudomonadati; Bacteroidota; Bacteroidia; Bacteroidales; Tannerellaceae.